Molecule: ribosomal RNA, 1019 nt
Filed under: uncultured bacterium
Lineage: Bacteria
Description: bacterial SSU rRNA
Rfam family: Bacterial small subunit ribosomal RNA
Source: RNAcentral
GCAGCUAUCAUGCAGUCGACGGCAGUUGAGUAGCAAUACUUGACCUAGAGUGACGUACGGGUGCGUAACACGUAUGCAACCUACCCAAAACAGGAGUAUAGCUCGGGGAAACUCGAAUUAACCCUCCAUAAGAUAGUAGAAGAGCAUUCUUCAGCUAUUAAAACUCAGGUGGUUUUGGAUGGGCAUGCGUUUGAUUAGCUAGUUGGUAGUGUAACGGACUACCAAGGCGAUGAUCAAUAGGGGAACUGAGAGGUUGAUCCCCCACACUGGCACUGAGAUACGGGCCAGACUCCUACGGGAGACAGCAGUAGGGAAUAUUGGUCAAUGGAUGCAAGUCUGAACCAGCCAUGCCGCGUGCAGGAAGAAGGCCUUCUGGGUUGUAAACUGCUUUUGUCAGGGGAUAAAAAAUUCCUUGCGAGGAAUAUUGAAGGUACCUGGCGAAUAAGCCACGGCUAACUACGUGCCAGCAGUCGCGGUAAUACGUAGGUGGCGAGCGUUGUCCGGAUUUAUUGGGUUUAAAGGGUGCGUAGGCGGUCCUAUAAGUCAGUGGUGAAAUAUCGCAGCUUAACUGUGAGGGUGCCAUUGAUACUGUAGGACUUGAGUGAAUUUGAGGUAGGCGGAAUUGACGGUGUAGCGGUGAAAUGCUUAGAUAUCGUCAAGAACACCGAUAGUGAAGACAGCUUACCAAGCUUCAACUGACGCUGAGGCACGAAAGUGUGGGGAUCAAACAGGAUUAGAUACCCUGGUAGUCCACACUGUAAACGUUGAUUACUCGCUGUUGGCGAUACACAGCCAGCNGGCUAAGCGCAAGCNAUAAGUAAUCCACCUGGGGGAGUACNCCCGGCAACGGUGAAACUCAAAGAAAUUUGACGGGGGGUCCGCACAAGCCGGUGGAACCAUGUGGGUUUAAAUUCCAAUGAUACCCCGAAGGAACCUUACCUUGGACUAAAAAAUGCCCCUUGAACCGAUCCAAAAAAUGGAUUUUUUCCCCCAGGGACAAAGGAACCAAGGGUGCUUGC